This 385-nucleotide ribosomal RNA is filed under the name uncultured bacterium. Its description in RNAcentral is "bacterial SSU rRNA". It matches the Rfam family "Bacterial small subunit ribosomal RNA", at positions 30 to 413 of the family's 1533-position model. The record is from RNAcentral.
AUUGAACGCUGGCGGCAUGCCUUACACAUGCAAGUCGAACGGCAGCACGGGAGCUUGCUCCUGGUGGCGAGUGGCGAACGGGUGAGUAAUAUAUCGGAACGUGCCCUAGAGUGGGGGAUAACUAGUCGAAAGAUUAGCUAAUACCGCAUACGAUCUAAGGAUGAAAGUGGGGGAUCGCAAGACCUCAUGCUCGUGGAGCGGCCGAUAUCUGAUUAGCUAGUUGGUGAGGUAAAGGCUCACCAAGGCGACGAUCAGUAGCUGGUCUGAGAGGACGACCAGCCACACUGGAACUGAGACACGGUCCAGACUCCUACGGGAGGCAGCAGUGGGGAAUUUUGGACAAUGGGCGCAAGCCUGAUCCAGCAAUGCCGCGUGAGUGAAGAAG